GUCUGCAGCCAGGCCACCCUGAAUGUGCCCAAUCUCGUCUGAUCUCAGAAGCUAAGUAGGGACGGGCCUGGUUAGUACUUGAAUGGGAGACCACCUAAGAAGACCAGGUGCUAUAGGUA
Molecule: ribosomal RNA, 119 nt
Filed under: Pteropus alecto (black flying fox)
Lineage: Eukaryota; Metazoa; Chordata; Mammalia; Chiroptera; Pteropodidae
Source: RNAcentral